Molecule: ribosomal RNA, 465 nt
Filed under: uncultured Hylemonella sp.
Lineage: Bacteria; Pseudomonadati; Pseudomonadota; Betaproteobacteria; Burkholderiales; Comamonadaceae
Description: bacterial SSU rRNA
Rfam family: Bacterial small subunit ribosomal RNA
Source: RNAcentral
CCUACGGGCGGCUGCAGUGGGGAAUUUUGGACAAUGGGCGCAAGCCUGAUCCAGCAAUGCCGCGUGCAGGAUGAAGGCCUUCGGGUUGUAAACUGCUUUUGUACGGAACGAAAAAGCUCUCUCUAAUACAGGGGGUGAAUGACGGUACCGUAAGAAUAAGCACCGGCUAACUACGUGCCAGCAGCCGCGGUAAUACGUAGGGUGCAAGCGUUAAUCGGAAUUACUGGGCGUAAAGCGUGCGCAGGCGGUUUUGUAAGACAGAGGUGAAAUCCCCGGGCUCAACCUGGGAACUGCCUUUGUGACUGCAAAGCUGGAGUGCGGCAGAGGGGGAUGGAAUUCCGCGUGUAGCAGUGAAAUGCGUAGAUAUGCGGAGGAACACCGAUGGCGAAGGCAAUCCCCUGGGCCUGCACUGACGCUCAUGCACGAAAGCGUGGGGAGCAAACAGGAUUAGAUACCCCAGUAGUC